GCUUAUACAUGCAAGUCGAACGGUAAGGCCGAGGGUAGCAAUACCCGAGGCACACGAGUGGCGCACGGGUGCGUAACGCGUAUGCAACCUGCCCCCGACCGGGACAAAACGCUGAGAAAUCGGCGCUAAUAUCCCAUGCUGACCCGGGGCGGCAUCGCCCUUGGUCGAAAGAUUCAUUGGUCGGGGAUGGGCAUGCGUGGCAUUAGCUGGUUGGCGGGGUAACGGCCCACCAAGGCGACGAUGCCUAGGGGUUCUGAGAGGAAGGUCCCCCACACUGGAACUGAGACACGGUCCAGACUCCUACGGGAGGCAGCAGUAGGGAAUAUUGGGCAAUGGGAGCAAUCCUGACCCAGCCAUGCCGCGUGAAGGAAGACGGCCCUACGGGUUGUAAACUUCUUUUGCCAGGGAGUAACCGUCGCGACGUGUCGCGGCCUGAGAGUACCUGGCGAAUAAGCAUCGGCUAACUCCGUGCCAGCAGCCGCGGUAAUACGGAGGAUGCGAGCGUUAUCCGGAUUCAUUGGGUUUAAAGGGUGCGCAGGCGGACGGCCAAGUCGUGGGUGAAAUCCCGCCGCUCAACGGUGGACGGUCCUACGAUACUGGUCGACUGGAGUUCUGGUGGCGCGGCCGGAAUGUGACGUGUAGCGGUGAAAUGCAUAGAUAUGUCACAGAACGCCGAUCGUGAAGACAGGCCGCGAACCGGAGACUGACGCUCAUGCACGAAAGCGUGGGUAUCAAACAGGAUUAGAUACCCUGGUAGUCCACGCUGUAAACGAUGACCACUCGUUCCCGGGGGGAGACUUUCGGGGGCCAAGCGAAAGCGAUAAGUGGUCCACCUGGGGAGUACGAUCGCAAGGUUGAAACUCAAAGGAAUUGACGGGGGCCCGCACAAGCGGAGGAGCAUGUGGUUUAAUUCGAUGAUACGCGAGGAACCUUACCCGGGCUUGACGUGCGACGGCGGCGCAGAGACUGCGCCUCCCUUCGGGCGUCGUGCGAGUGCUGCAUGGUUGUCGUCAGCUCGUGCCGUGAGGUGUAGUUUAGUCUCUGCAACGAGCGCAACCCUUACCCGCAAUUGCCAGCGACGCCGGGCACUCUGCGGGGAACUGCCCCCCCAAGCGAGAAGAAGGGGGA
RNAcentral lists this ribosomal RNA (1128 nucleotides) under uncultured rumen bacterium. RNAcentral describes it as "bacterial SSU rRNA". It matches the Rfam family "Bacterial small subunit ribosomal RNA", at positions 46 to 1179 of the family's 1533-position model. The record is from RNAcentral.